Molecule: long non-coding RNA, 793 nt
Filed under: Homo sapiens (human)
Lineage: Eukaryota; Metazoa; Chordata; Mammalia; Primates; Hominidae
Description: HSALNT0198721
Source: RNAcentral
CCGCAGGGGCUCUAAAGGCAGCCCCAGGUUGGCUAAAGCGGUUCCUGGUACGGACACCAAGGCCCCCGUGCUCGGGCCCUACCCAGCCUGGUUCAGGCGGACUCCAGGCAGGAAGCGAGGGUCAGGGUCCUGGAAGAAAGCACUCUGUCCUUGAAUUAUUCACCCCUAAUUGAGUUAUCGUGACACCCUGUGGCUUUGGGAAACCUCUCCACAACCAAGUGGAGCCACAGCCCUCUGCUAAUGAGGGUAGAAGGUCGAAUUAGAUACACAUCAAAAGUGGCAGCCUGUCAUACUCGUCUUUCUCUUUCCUGGGAAAUUGCUGAUGGUUCAAGUAAAGACUCUGAAGCAGUCUCAGGGAUAUACUGCUUGGUAGUAAAAGUCAAGUCUUCAUCAUCUAGUUUACGGCAUGAAUCAACACACAGUUGUUUGAAAAUGCUGAAUGCAGAUUUGUCAGAACUCCCUGAAUCUUCUGCACUUGCUCCUCCUUCUCUCAAACUUGCAUUCUUUGAUGCUUCUGGAUUGUCAUUUUGAAGACCAUUUUCAAGUAUCUUUUUUUUUAUGUUGCAAAAUUUGUUGUUGAAUGCUAGUCAAAACACCACAAAUAGCAUAAUUGUUUGCUGUCUGUCCAUACAUAUCUUGAAUAAAGACAGUAAUAUUUUGUUGAAGAAUGCCAACUAUACCUAACGAGCCAUAAUGUACAGCAGGCGUGAAGGCUGUUCCUCUCAACCUAUCAACAGCAUGUGCAUUUGCUUGUUUCUUCACUAAAAAUUCCAGCAUUUGCUGUCUUUUGCAA